UGGGGAAUAUUGGACAAUGGGGGAAACCCUGAUCCAGCGACGCCGCGUGUGUGAAGAAGGCCUGCGGGUUGUAAAGCACUUUUAGUGGGGAUGAAAUGUGCAGGGUUAAUACCUCUGCAUUUCGACCUAACCCACAGAAAAAGCACCGGCUAACUUUGUGCCAGCAGCCGCGGUAAUACAGAGGGUGCAAGCGUUAAUCGGAAUUACUGGGCGUAAAGCGUGCGUAGACGGUUACAUAAGUCGGGUGUGAAAGCCCCGGGCUCAACCUGGGAAUUGCAUUCGAGACUGCGUAGCUAGGGUGCGGAAGAGGGAAGCGGAAUUUCCGGUGUAGCGGUGAAAUGCGUAGAUAUCGGAAGGAACACCAGUGGCGAAAGCGGCUUCCUGGUCCAGCACCGACGUUCAGGCACGAAAGCGUGGGGAGCAAACAGGAUUAGAUACCCUGGUAGUCCACGCCAUAAACGAUGAGAACUAGACGUUGAAGGGGUAAGCCCUCCAGUGUCGUAGCUAACGCGCUAAGUUCUCCGCCUGGGGAGUACGGCCGCAAGGUUGA
RNAcentral lists this ribosomal RNA (550 nucleotides) under uncultured Gammaproteobacteria bacterium. RNAcentral describes it as "bacterial SSU rRNA". It matches the Rfam family "Bacterial small subunit ribosomal RNA", at positions 355 to 897 of the family's 1533-position model. The record is from RNAcentral. Lineage: Bacteria; Pseudomonadati; Pseudomonadota; Gammaproteobacteria.